This 497-nucleotide ribosomal RNA is filed under the name uncultured bacterium. RNAcentral describes it as "partial 16S ribosomal RNA". It matches the Rfam family "Bacterial small subunit ribosomal RNA", at positions 28 to 507 of the family's 1533-position model. The record is from RNAcentral.
GAUGAACGCUGGCGGCGUGCCUAAUACAUGCGAGUCGAGCGAACGGACGAGAGGCUUGCUUCUCUGAUGUUAGCGGCGGACGGGUGAGUAACACGUGGAUAACCUACCUAUAAGACUGGGAUAACUUCGGGAAACCGGAGCUAAUACCGGAUAAUAUUUUGAACCGCAUGGUUCAAAAGUGAAAGACGGUCUUGCUGUCACUUAUAGAUGGAUCCGCGCUGCAUUAGCUAGUUGGUAAGGUAACGGCUUACCAAGGCAACGAUGCAUAGCCGACCUGAGAGGGUGAUCGGCCACACUGGAACUGAGACACGGUCCAGACUCCUACGGGAGGCAGCAGUAGGGAAUCUUCCGCAAUGGGCGAAAGCCUGACGGAGCAACGCCGCGUGAGUGAUGAAGGUCUUCGGAUCGUAAAACUCUGUUAUUAGGGAAGAACAUAUGUGUAAGUAACUGUGCACAUCUUGACGGUACCUAAUCAGAAAGCCACGGCUAACUACGUG